This 467-nucleotide ribosomal RNA is filed under the name uncultured bacterium. RNAcentral's name for it is "partial 16S ribosomal RNA". It matches the Rfam family "Bacterial small subunit ribosomal RNA", at positions 28 to 506 of the family's 1533-position model. The record is from RNAcentral.
GACGAACGCUGGCGGCGUGCUUAACACAUGCAAGUCGAACGGAAAGGCCCUGCUUUUGUGGGGUGCUCGAGUGGCGAACGGGUGAGUAACACGUGAGUAACCUGCCCUUGACUUUGGGAUAACUUCAGGAAACUGGGGCUAAUACCGGAUAGGAGCUCCUGCUGCAUGGUGGGGGUUGGAAAGUUUCGGCGGUUGGGGAUGGACUCGCGGCUUAUCAGCUUGUUGGUGGGGUAGUGGCUUACCAAGGCUUUGACGGGUAGCCGGCCUGAGAGGGUGACCGGCCACAUUGGGACUGAGAUACGGCCCAGACUCCUACGGGAGGCAGCAGUGGGGAAUAUGGCACAAUGGGCGGAAGCCUGAUGCAGCAACGCCGCGUGCGGGAUGACGGCCUUCGGGUGGUAAACCGCUUUCGCCUGUGGCGAAGCGUGAGUGACGGUAAUGGGGAAAGAAGCACCGGCUAACUACGU